UACGAAGGGGGCGAGCGUUGUUCGGAAUUACUGGGCGUAAAGCGUGCGUAGGCGGUUCGUUAAGUCUGUCGUGAAAGCCCUGGGCUCAACCUGGGAAUUGCGAUGGAUACUGGCGAGCUAGAGUACGGUAGAGGAUGGUGGAAUUCCCGGUGUAGCGGUGAAAUGCGUAGAGAUCGGGAGGAACACCCGUGGCGAAGGCGGCCAUCUGGACCAGUACUGACGCUGAGGCACGAAAGCGUGGGGGAGCAAACAGG
Molecule: ribosomal RNA, 254 nt
Filed under: uncultured bacterium
Lineage: Bacteria
Description: partial 16S ribosomal RNA
Rfam family: Bacterial small subunit ribosomal RNA
Source: RNAcentral